Molecule: non-coding RNA, 712 nt
Organism: Tyto alba (common barn owl)
Lineage: Eukaryota; Metazoa; Chordata; Aves; Strigiformes; Tytonidae
Source: the annotation of a RefSeq genome assembly
UCCCGGAGGCAGACGCCAGCGAGAGCCCUCGGGAUGCUGCUGCUCCUGCUCCUGGUCCUGGCUGCAGCCUGGUCUUAUGGACAAGCACAAGUGCGCCUGAAGCAGAGCCAAGUAUCUGUUACCAGAGAGUCAACUAAAACUGCACGGAUAGAGUGUGUAGCCGAGGGCAUAUCCAACUUCCAUUCUGCAUAUAUACAUUGGUACCGGCACAUACCCUCCAAACCUCCUGAACGGAUUCUGUAUAUUGGAUCAGGUGCAGCUUCUUUUGAUGACCAUUCCCACACAAACAAGUAUUCUUGUUCAAAGACAGGAACAAACGUCUGCAUUUUCUCAAUCAAGGACAUCAACUCAAACGAUGAAGGUACCUACUACUGUGCCUACUGGGAGUAUCACAGAACUAGCGGACCACAGGCAGUCUGUACAGAAAGCUGCCUGCACCCUGAGCGGCAGGCUUUCUGUCAAAUGCAGAGAACCACAGUUGUACCUUCCUGCCUCUAAAACAUCCCAACAGGUUCAUGCCGAAUAUGUAAGUAUAAAUAAUGGCCAGAGUGAGCAGCAAAGAAAUGCAGCGUGCUACCACUCAGCAGGUACAACGUGCUGCGCUGGGGAAAAGGAGAACUCCGGUGGGUGAUGGUGUUACAGAUGAGUUGUACAGUAACACAGAUUGCCUUUGAAUAAUAUAGAUACUUUCCCAGAUAUGGUCUGAGCUAAA